GAUGAAGAACGUAGCUAAAUGCGAUAAGUAGUGUGAAUUGCAGAAUUCAGUGAAUCAUCGAAUCUUUGAACGCACAUUGCGGCCAUAGGUAUUCCUUUGGCCAUGCCUGUUCGAGCGUCAUUUACACCCUCAAGCCUAGCUUGGUGUUGGGCGUCUGUCCCGCCGUUUUCGCGCGCGGACUCGCCUCAAAGUCAUUGGCGGCGGUCGUGCCGGCCCCCUCGCGCAGCACAUUUGCGCUUCUCGGAGGCCCGGCGGAUCCGCGCUCCAGCAAGACCUUUCACGACUUGACCUCGGAUCAGGUAGGGAUACCCGCUGAACUUAAGCAUAUCAAUAAGCGGAGGA
This 342-nucleotide unclassified non-coding RNA is filed under the name soil metagenome. RNAcentral describes it as "partial contains 5.8S ribosomal RNA, internal transcribed spacer 2, and large subunit ribosomal RNA". The stretch from base 1 to 120 matches the Rfam family "5.8S ribosomal RNA", at positions 35 to 154 of the family's 154-position model. The record is from RNAcentral.